This 842-nucleotide ribosomal RNA is filed under the name uncultured bacterium. RNAcentral's name for it is "bacterial SSU rRNA". It matches the Rfam family "Bacterial small subunit ribosomal RNA", at positions 8 to 861 of the family's 1533-position model. The record is from RNAcentral.
AGAGUUUGAUCAUGGCUCAGGACGAACGCUGGCGGUAUGCUUAACACAUGCAAGUCGAACGAGACAAAAGAGAAGUGCUUGCACGGAUCUUUUAGAAAGUGGCGAACGGGUGAGUAACGCGUGGGUAACCUACCCUAUGGAAAGGAAUAGCCUCGGGAAACUGGGAGUAAUGCCUUAUAAGAUAUAUUUGUCGCAUGGCAGAUGUAUUAAACGCUCCGGUGCCAUAGGAUGGACCCGCGUCCCAUUAGCUAGUUGGUGAGAUAACAGCUCACCAAGGCGACGAUGGGUAACCGGUCUGAGAGGGCGAACGGUCACACUGGAACUGAGACACGGUCCAGACUCCUACGGGAGGCAGCAGUGGGGAAUAUUGCGCAAUGGGGGAAACCCUGACGCAGCAAUACCGCGUGAGUGAAGAAGGUUUUCGGAUCGUAAAGCUCUGUUAUUGGGGAAGAAAAAAAGACGGUACCCAAGAAGAAAGUCCCGGCUAACUACGUGCCAGCAGCCGCGGUAAUACGUAGGGGACAAGCGUUGUCCGGAUUUACUGGGCGUAAAGGGCACGCAGGCGGUUUUUUAAGUCAGAUGUGAAAGGUACCGGCUCAACCGGUGACAUGCAUUUGAAACUGAAAGACUUGAGUAUUGGAGAGGCAAGUGGAAUUCCUAGUGUAGCGGUGAAAUGCGUAGAUAUUAGAGGAACACCGGUGGCGAAAGCGGCUUGCUGGACAAAUACUGACGCCGAGGUGCGAAAGCGUGGGGAGCAAACAGGAUUAGAUACCCUGGUAGUCCACGCCGUAACGAUGAGUGCUAGGUGGUUGGGGGAGACUCAGUGCCGCAGCUAACGCAUA